Sciurus carolinensis (gray squirrel) is the source of this 2702-nucleotide long non-coding RNA. RefSeq lists it as uncharacterized. Lineage: Eukaryota; Metazoa; Chordata; Mammalia; Rodentia; Sciuridae. The record is from RefSeq and is a predicted model, not a curated record. The transcript is spliced from 3 exons.
CCAGAUGCUCUGGGGCAUCUGCGGAGUGCCUCCCAGAUGGGGCCGCAGCAUGACAGAGUCUAACCACCCGCUUCCACCCGCCCUGCGAGGCUUUUAUUAGCCCACUGCAUCUCUGAGAGCUAUUUUUAAAAAUCGCCCUCGGGCUCACACAUUUGCUUGGGUCCAAAGGUUGUGAUGAAACCAGCUUGUGGGAAGUUUGUAAAGUGCUCUCCUCGCGGAGUCGACUUUCUCACUCUGUUCGGAGCCAUCUUCCUGGGGACUGUGUGCAAGUGACAGUUUCCACCCGGUUUGAAAACUGACGGGGCCUCUCUGGUGACCUGGUGAGCAGGAGGAGCGAUCCCACCUGUGGCCCCAUGGCUGGGCAGCAUCGGGGUUUUGACAUUGUGCUUGCCUGUGAUCAGACGGGCAGGACAGCAGCCAACCUUGCUGGCCCAGGGUCCUUGGCGAGCUGCCGAACUCAGGGACUCGGUCUCCCCAACUGCAGGACGGAGGCAUGAGGUCUAAGACCCGACGCGCUCCUGAACUCCAGGCUGUCUGGCUUUGGACCCAGGACUCACAUCCCUCCUGGGCCCCAGCCUCCUACUUGAGCAGUCACACUAUCUGCUCCCUCGAUCUGGGGCCUUCACACUUGGACAGAUCUGCGGUUCUGGCUCAGCUCUCGGCUCACAUGAGCCCAACCCCUGUGGGAUCUCCUGUGUAUAUCUGCAGGCAGCCUGAUGUCGCCGAUUGGCAGCAUGGCUAUAGGAAGGGCCAGGGUUUCUGCCUGGGCACCGGGUCCUCAGCAGGCCUCACCCUUGGGCCCUUCCCCUUGGAAAAGCAGCUCAGUAGUGCAGAGACCACCCUAGAAAGGCGCUCUAAAACAACCUCUUCAGUCAGCUUCUCAGGACGCAGAGAUGCCAGAGGCACCUGCAGGAGAAACCCAACUGGAAAGUGAAAUGACUGUGAGAAAGAAAAGCCGAGAGGCAAUUAGGAGCUGUCCAUCUUCAACUGCAAAAUCACGCCGUGGUGCUCCGCCUCAGCACGCCCGGGACGCAGCCAUCAUUCUUGCUGGGGGAAAGAGGCCCACAGAGGUUGCUGGGAAAGGUCGUGGCUGCUUCCUGAACCGGGCAAGUCUCGCCUGUGAGAGCAAAAGCACCAGCGGAGCAGGGCAGGGCUGGCACCCUCCCGCCGUCUCCGGCUACUCCCUUGCUGCGCAGCAUGGAGACAGGGUGGGGGCAUCACGCCUCUUCCUUCUGCUCCACUGACCCGGGACCUGGCUGCACAGGGUGCAGCUGGGGAGGAGGCAGCGUGGAGGCAGCAGAGCUAGUGAGGUCAGAGGCCAGCGGGGCAGGAGACGCAUGGCGCUGCGCGUGCACGGCAGCGGGUUCCUAGUCCUGGAGGCAGCGUCCCACGCAAGGGCACCUGCUUCUGCCCUCAUCUGUCAGCAGAAGAAAAAAGUUCCCAGGAGUCAGAACCCCAGGUCGAGUCCUGGUGUGUUAUUGGCACAGAGCACGUUGGAGCCUCUCCGAGCCUCAGUUCCUCUUCUGUAAAAGUGGCCACGGCGACCUAGCUCAUGAGGUGGUUGUGAGGACUGUGUGGGGAGCCAGGGGAGGAGCUGCAUCGUCUGUGCCCAGCGCAUGGUUUCCUGGCAGGGAUGCGUCCUGGGGAGAAGGCGGCUGUGGCUGCUUCACCCACACCCACGGACCGUCUGUCCGUGGCUCCCGGUGGUCCCGCCCGGCUCCUGGCCUCAGUGAGGCGUAUGCAGGGAUCACUCUGGGGAGAGGAGAGUGGAGGCUCCCCACCCUCAACUGCAGCCCCAAGAGCUCCUGCCUUCCGUCUCAGGGGCCUGCUUCUCCCACAGAGCAGCAGAGGUGGACGAUGCUGGAGAGGCACCGUUGCCCUUUGGCUGGACAUGCUGCUGGGGAAGAGCAGAGCAGUGCGUCUUAGUCAGAGCUGGGGCCACAGAGCGCCACAGGGUGCCACAGGGUGCCACAGGACACCACACGGUGCCACAGAGCACCACAGUGUGACACAGAGCGCCACACGCUGGGCCAUUUGUAAAGAACAGAAGACUUUUCCCCUCAGUUCUGGAAGCCGGAAAGCCAAGGUCAGGGCACUGGCAGCUGAGGCUUCCUGGCAAGGGCUUCCGCGCUGCACUCUCCUGGCAGAAGGCAAGAUGAGGAACAGAGGAGGGAGCCCAGUCCUGCCAGCCCCUGACCCGGGGCACUGAGCCACGCAGGGCCUCAGGACCCAAGCACGUCCCCUCGGGUACCUCCGCCUGGCACUGCUGCGCUGGGAACUGAGUGCCAGCAUGCUGAAGGACAUGUCAAAGCUCGCCGUGCAGGAGGCCAGCAACGUCCAGACUGGGGAACCCAACAGAACACCUCAGGAGAUGAGGGAGACAGGAGGGCGGGACCUCUGGCUCCAGAGACGCUUGGAGUCACACCAACCAAUCGGGAUUAGGGAUCUCGGGUUCUGUUCAAACAAACGGUUAAAAGGGGGAAAAGUGAGACCCCUGGGUAAUCUGAAUAAUGACCGGACAUUUGACCAUAGUGCGGAAUGAGCCUUCCGUUUUACAUAUGAUGACACCGUGGUCACUUGUAGAAACGAGGGCUUCUCGGCAGAGAUCCAAGCCACGGUGCUUCCAGGAGGGAUGAGAUGAUGCCUGAAAUUUACUUCAGAGUGAUCCGGGGAGGCACCGGUCACUGCCACUGGGCCACAGG